This is a long non-coding RNA of Harpegnathos saltator (Jerdon's jumping ant), 1523 nucleotides long. RefSeq lists it as uncharacterized. NCBI's taxonomy places the organism in Eukaryota, Metazoa, Arthropoda, Insecta, Hymenoptera, Formicidae. The transcript is spliced from 6 exons. The record is from RefSeq and is a predicted model, not a curated record.
GUUGCACGCGUUAACCCUUCCACUACGAUUUGCGCGGGAUCGCGCCGCGGCGUCCAUUUUGGCGACACGCACGAACACGAUCGGCAUCGCAUCGAUCGGGAUGGAGUCGAGAGCAAUGCGAAUAUUCUGAAUUUCCAAAGAUCCGACUAAAUCUGCAGCUUCACUGCGAAGACAGUUCUAUCCCGGCGGAAGUACCAAAGGAUUCGUACUCGAAAAACUCGAUCGAGGUGUACUGAUCGCACAGACCUUCUCGAAGUAAGUUUUUAUUGGCGUUGGAAAUAUAACGCCAUCGCCGUUCACGUUCCGGUGUCCUGCGUGUGUACGACCUUGUAUAGAUACGACGCUCAAAAAAGAAACACGUGUUGACGGAAGUCCGGCGGCAUUGCGUUCGAUAUUUCAAAGGUUCGAUGUAAAUACAAGAGCCAGCAAGGAGAAAGCAAGCGUCGCGCCACGAUAUCAAAACCGACAAUAUUUACAUUAUCCCGUGCCUAUUGCCAACUGUUGUCGCUCCACCACUACAGGCGGUCAAGCUUUGUCAACAUUUCGACAACACUAUCGAGACACACCGGAGCCUCGUGUAUCGCGUGAUUUCCCGAACGUCUUCAUUACGUCCCGGGCCGACGAUCGAGCGACGCGUGUACGCGUACGUACACGGACGAAGCGUGUAUCGGAAGCGUUAUCAUUCCUUCCGCGCGAUCGAGAUACUUCGUCGGCCGUUGAAAUACUUAAUCAGGCUCUCGCGUCGGCGUCGCGUUAUUUAACACAUAUAUCUUUGAAUCGUCGUAUCUACGCAAGUGCGAGUGCCGUGAUGGAGGAGCACAGCCAGGAUGCUGGAUAAAGAAGGCAGGACGGAGGACGAAGGCAGGCUGGGACGAAGGCAGAGUAGGUCAUCAGACAUCGAAUAUCUUCAAGGACGAGGAGCCCGUCGUCUUGCCGGUGGUCGCAGUCCUUCGUCGAGGCAUCGAGGACCUCAAAGGGACUCCUCGAGGGAGGAGAGAGAAGGAAGGAAGGAAGGAAGGAAGAGAUACGGCGGCUCCGAGAGAUACUCGCUACCCGGCUGUUAAACGAAAGCGAGUCCGGCGUGUGUGUAACCGACUGCGCGCGAACUCUCGCGCACGGAUUCGCCGCUUCAUAAUCGCCGUCUCACCCGGCUCGAUGACCUUGAGAUCUUCUUCCACUUCAACGUUCGCGCCCCACCCUGCCUACCGGCGACGCAUCGAUACGAUAACAAUAACGUCCGCGUCUACUUGAGCGCGCGGUCCGGAGGAGCGAAGACGUUCUCUCUCGAUUGGCGGCAGCGUAGAAGGAGAAGGAGGAGGAGGACAGGGUGAAGGACAGGGGAGGCAGAGGGUGAGGAAAAAGCCGGUUGACACGAGGGAGGAACGCCAGGAACGAGAAGAGAGGAACGUUCGAAUGCGCUGGGACGAGACGACGAGGCGUGAGUAAGCUCGCGGGAGGAAAUUAAUUCGUAGAAAGGGAGGAAGUGUAGGAGGAGGAGGAGAAGGAGGAGGAGAAGGAGGAGG